CUUGAAUAGCAAUAUAGGUACAUAUAAUAAUAUUAUGUAGGUAUGCAAUUUAAAACCCCUGUAAGGCUGUAUGGCCUGUAUCAUUUUAGAACUCAUUUUGAAUUUGAAUUUUAGUGUGAAUGUGCUUAGGUACUGUAUUGUAACAUUUAUAAUU
Long non-coding RNA from Acyrthosiphon pisum (pea aphid), 154 nucleotides. RefSeq lists it as uncharacterized. The record is from RefSeq and is a predicted model, not a curated record. Lineage: Eukaryota; Metazoa; Arthropoda; Insecta; Hemiptera; Aphididae. The transcript is spliced from 2 exons.